This 492-nucleotide ribosomal RNA is filed under the name uncultured bacterium. RNAcentral describes it as "partial 16S ribosomal RNA". It matches the Rfam family "Bacterial small subunit ribosomal RNA", at positions 29 to 507 of the family's 1533-position model. The record is from RNAcentral.
AGUGAACGCUGGCGGUAGGCCUAACACAUGCAAGUCGAACGGCAGCACAGUCAGAGCUUGCUCUUACGGGUGGCGAGUGGCGGACGGGUGAGGAAUACAUCGGAAUCUACUUUUUCGUGGGGGAUAACGUAGGGAAACUUACGCUAAUACCGCAUACGACCUACUGGUGAAUGCAGGGGAUCUUCGGACCUUGCGCGAUUGAAUGAGCCGAUGUCGGAUUAGCUAGUUGGCGGGGUAAAGGCCCACCAAGGCGACGAUCCGUAGCUGGUCUGUGAGGAUGAUCAGCCACACUGGAACUGAGACACGGUCCAGACUCCUACGGGAGGCAGCAGUGGGGAAUAUUGGACAAUGGGCGCAAGCCUAAUCCAGCCAUACCGCGUGGGUGAAGAAGUCUUUCGGGUUGUAAAGCCCUUUUGUUGGGAAAGAAAAGCAGCAGGUUAAUACCCCGCUGUUCUGACGGUACCCAAAGAAUAAGCACCGGCUAACUUCGUG